This 406-nucleotide ribosomal RNA is filed under the name uncultured bacterium. RNAcentral describes it as "partial 16S ribosomal RNA". It matches the Rfam family "Bacterial small subunit ribosomal RNA", at positions 30 to 526 of the family's 1533-position model. The record is from RNAcentral.
AUUGAACGCUAGCGGCAGGCCUAACACAUGCAAGUCGAGCGAGUGGCGGACGGGUGAGUAAUGUAUGGGAACGUGCCCGAUGGCGGGGGAUAACUACUGGAAACAGUGGCUAAUACCGCAUACCAUUUGAUGGUCCCAUAUGGGAUUAGCUAGUAGGUGGGGUAACGGCUCACCAAGGCCACGAUCCCUAGCUGGUCUGAGAGGAUGACCAGCCACACUGGGACGGAGACACGGCCCAGACUCCUACGGUAGGCAGCAGUGGGGAAUAUUGCACAAUGGGCGCAAGCCUGAUGCAGCCAUGCCGCGUGUAUGAAGAAGGCCUUCGGGUUGUAAAGUACUUUCAGUCGGGAGGCGUUACCUACAGAAGAAGCACCGGCUAACUCCGUGCCAGCAGCCGCGGUAAUUC